GGAGUUAGCCGGUGCUUCUUCUGCGAGUAACGUCACAGAUGUAAGGUAUUAACUUACACCCUUUCCUCCUCGCUGAAAGUGCUUUACAACCCGAAGGCCUUCUUCACACACGCGGCAUGGCUGCAUCAGGGUUUCCCCCAUUGUGCAAUAUUCCCCACUGCUGCCUCCCGUAGGAGUCUGGGCCGUGUCUCAGUCCCAGUGUGGCUGAUCAUCCUCUCAGACCAGCUAGGGAUCGUCGCCUAGGUGAGCCUUUACCUCACCUACUAGCUAAUCCCACCUGGGCUUAUCCAUCAGCGCAAGGCCCGAAGGUCCCCUGCUUUCCCCCGUAGGGCGUAUGCGGUAUUAGCAGUCGUUUCCAACUGUUAUCCCCCACAAUGGGCAAAUUCCCAGGCAUUACUCACCCGUCCGCCGCUCGUCAUCUUCAAAAGCAAGCUUUUGAAAUGUUACCGCUCGACUUGCAUGUGUUAGGCCUGCCGCCAGCGUUCAAUCUGAGCCAGGAUCAAACUCUGA
RNAcentral lists this ribosomal RNA (510 nucleotides) under uncultured bacterium. Its description in RNAcentral is "partial 16S ribosomal RNA". The record is from RNAcentral.